This 221-nucleotide long non-coding RNA is filed under the name Lathyrus oleraceus (garden pea). RNAcentral describes it as "Pisum sativum (pea) long non-coding RNA (PSAT_LNC035848)". The record is from RNAcentral. Lineage: Eukaryota; Viridiplantae; Streptophyta; Magnoliopsida; Fabales; Fabaceae.
UAAGUUUCAUUUAUAAAGUUCAAGGUAGUAUUGAUUGUAUUUUGUCAAACUUAUUAGAGAGAGAAAAAGUAAAAUGAAUAUAAUAAAUAGCUAAGGGUAUUUUAGGUAAAAGAAGAAUUAUUGUUGAAAAAAGAACAAUAAUAAUUACUAGGGAUGGCAAUUUGACACAUCCCCAAUGGGCACCCGCAAAUUUACCCACAACGGAUAGGGUAAAAACCCGC